CUGUGGGCUGGUAGGGAGACUGCCGGAGGCUAGAGGGUGGGAGAGGUCAGCGGUAUUCCUGGGGUAGGGGCGAAAUCCUUUGAUCCCAGGAGGACCACCAGUGGCGAAGGCUGCUGACUAGAACACGCCUGACGGUCAGGGACGAAAGCUGGGGUAGCGAAUCGGAUUAGAUACCCGAGUAGUCCCAGCCGUAAACGAUGCAGGCUAGGUGUUGGGGCGGCCACGCGCCGCCUCAGUGCCACAGGGAAGCCAUUAAGCCUGCCGCCUGGGGAGUACGGCCGCAAGGCUGAAACUUAAAGGAAUUUGCGGGGGAGCACCACCAGGCGUGAAGCCUGCGGUUUAAUUGGAGUCGACGCCGGGAACCUUACCGGGAGCGACAGCAGGGUGAAGGCCAGGUUGAAGGUCUUGCCGGACGAGCUGAGAGGAGGUGCAUGGCCGUCGCCAGUUCGUGCC
This 453-nucleotide ribosomal RNA is filed under the name uncultured archaeon. RNAcentral describes it as "bacterial SSU rRNA". It matches the Rfam family "Archaeal small subunit ribosomal RNA", at positions 563 to 1015 of the family's 1478-position model. The record is from RNAcentral.